This is a long non-coding RNA of Triplophysa rosa, 341 nucleotides long. RefSeq lists it as uncharacterized. NCBI's taxonomy places the organism in Eukaryota, Metazoa, Chordata, Actinopteri, Cypriniformes, Nemacheilidae. The transcript is spliced from 3 exons. The record is from RefSeq and is a predicted model, not a curated record.
ACACUACUGGCUGUCACUGAGUAAAGCACCGCCCCCUGGCUACUCCCCCAAGAGACUGUUGCUGUGUUACUGCUACAGCUCACACUGGCAGACAGAUUUUGUGGAUAUUCCAUGAGGAAUAGUGCGGAUGGGAGUUCUGGAUUUGGAAAAGUGGGCUUGCAUAUUAAAAUGCAGUUGUGAAGGACCACUCCUCUCCUCAAACUCCACCAGUGUAUUUCAGGACGCAUUGUGAUUGAGAUGUGAAGAUGAAAGUGUGUUGCUAACAGCGCUGGUGCAUUGGCCUUGUGUCACAUUCACACAAAAUGUGUAUGUCUGACUGCACUGCAGUCCGGCCACCACAC